CAGUGUGGAUUGUUAACCGAUUUCGUGACGUCAUCGUGUGGAGAGCGAUUACGUCAUUCGCGAUGGAGACGCCAUUUUGCGGCGCCAUGGAGGCGAGAGCACAGCGUGGUUCGUUUCGCUCUCCCCAAACACUCCACUCGCUCGCUACACUCACACGUUCCUCUGUAGUAUGCACAGACACCCCGCACACUCGCAUGCCCCUAGUACGCACAAACACUGUCUAAUACGCACAAACACUCUACGCACACGCGCUCCACCGCACGCGAUGGAGCUCUGUCUCGGAUGGAGGCCGCUGCUAUGAGCCCCGAGUUACGCGGGGAACCCGACUAAGAAUCCUGGCCUAAAGGUCAGAACUCUUCGAGAAUGCAGAUUCUGGAGUCAUCGGAUGCAAUCGCUUGAAGGUUGCAGGUUCCAAGAUCCUGGAUCUUCAAAGAUUUUAAUCACAAAGUUUCACAUUCCAAGGUGAUAUCCACGUCUGGAUGGGACCUUUUUGUGUAAUGUCUGUCUUGAAGAUGAAAGAAAAUGCAUCCAAGCCUUGUCAUUGGUGAACAUGGAGUCAACACAAUUCCUCUACUGAAGUCUUAACACGGGGUCAUUUACAGGCAUAUAAACAUACAUAUAGGGAAGUGAAAAGCAAAACUAGGAAACACGAGGCGUUAUCGAAAAGUUGGCAUUGGUGGUAGAAAUGUAUACAAUUAAACAGAUGCAUAACAAUAAGUUGAGAGACAUUAAAGGCCCUUAAAUAUACAAGGAUAUAAAAUGACCGGUCAUUCCACUUCGAAUAAACUGAUUCAAUGCUCAAGGUGAACAUUAACUUAAUACAGAUUUUAAAAUGGCCUUAGAAAGAAUGAAGAAAAUUAAAUAUUUAAACUAUUACAUCUCAUGGGUCUCAAAAGAGAACCCUUCAUUAUGGAAGGAACCAUUGUUAAAGGGGUAAAAAAUGAAGUGAAAAAACCUGAUGUUAUCCUAACAGAAUAAGAGAUGCACCUUUGUCAUGGUAAUCGGCAGCGCUGCACCAUCGCGAUGUACAAUCGGUAUACACUGUUACGUUAUUGUUUUCAAUAAAUGCUUCUUUGCAAGUA
This is a non-coding RNA of Petromyzon marinus (sea lamprey), 1082 nucleotides long. The record is from RefSeq and is a predicted model, not a curated record. NCBI's taxonomy places the organism in Eukaryota, Metazoa, Chordata, Hyperoartia, Petromyzontiformes, Petromyzontidae.